RNAcentral lists this ribosomal RNA (253 nucleotides) under uncultured bacterium. RNAcentral's name for it is "partial 16S ribosomal RNA". It matches the Rfam family "Bacterial small subunit ribosomal RNA", at positions 524 to 776 of the family's 1533-position model. The record is from RNAcentral.
UACUGAGGGCUCGAGCGUUGUGCGGAAUCACUGGGCUUAAAGCGUGCGUAGGCGGACCUGCAAGUACUUUGUGAAAUACCACGGCUCAACCGUGGAAUGGCUCGGUAUACUGCGGGUCUUGAGAUCGGUAGAGGUUGCCGGAACUCUAGGUGGAGCGGUGAAAUGCGUAGAUAUCUAGAGGAACGCCAAAGGCGAAGGCAGGCAACUGGGCCGAAUCUGACGCUGAGGCACGAAAGCGUGGGUAGCGAACGGG